This 409-nucleotide ribosomal RNA is filed under the name Contracaecum chubutensis. RNAcentral's name for it is "partial small subunit ribosomal RNA". Lineage: Eukaryota; Metazoa; Nematoda; Chromadorea; Rhabditida; Anisakidae. The record is from RNAcentral.
GGCUAGACUUUAUAGGCUUGUACUCUAAUUGUUGUCAAUCUUAAAUUUUUUAAAAACAUACUUUUGAUUUUAUGGUGAAAUUGAAGAUUUUAUUUAUAUGUAUUUAAGAUUAUAAAAUUUAAUGAACGAACCAGAUUAGUACCUGGUUAGAUAAAAAUUAAAAGGGCAGGAGUAAAGUUGAAUUUAAACUGUAAUAAUAUUGGCAGGCUUUUAAAUUAUCUUUGGAGGCUGAGUAGUAAUUGAGAGCCCUCAUUUACAACUCUUGUUUUAGGCUCAUGUAUGAUCGUUUAUUUUAUUCUUAAGGAUUGUAAUUUUAGUUUUUUAUCUGUUAAAAUAGAUAUAUACUUGGUUAAUACAGGAGGUUAAUUUGGCCUACAAUGUUAUAUUUUUUGGAUAGUAUUGGUAGUCA